Molecule: ribosomal RNA, 1185 nt
Filed under: Microsporomyces orientalis
Lineage: Eukaryota; Fungi; Basidiomycota; Cystobasidiomycetes; Cystobasidiales; Microsporomycetaceae
Description: LSU rRNA
Rfam family: Eukaryotic large subunit ribosomal RNA
Source: RNAcentral
ACUAACAAGGAUUCCCCUAGUAACGGCGAGUGAAGUGGGAAAAGCUCAACUUUGAAAUCUGGCAGCUUUGCUGUCCGAGUUGUAGUCUCGAGAAGCGUUUUCCGCGCUGAAGCAUGCAGGAGUCUGUUGGAAUACAGCGCCAUAGAGGGUGAGAGCCCCGUUCGKGGCAUSCCNUUCAGUGCUUUGUGAUACGCUUUCGAUGAGUCGAGUUGUUUGGGAAUGCAGCUCAAAUUGGGUGGUAAAUUCCAUCUAAAGCUAAAUAUUGGCGGGAGACCGAUAGCAAACAAGUACCGUGAGGGAAAGAUGAAAAGCACUUUGGAAAGAGAGUUAAAAGUACGUGAAAUUGUCGAAAGGGAAACGCUUGAAGUCGGACGUGCAGGGCAACUUGCAGACCAACAUCGGUUUCAGUAGCCGGAUAAAGGUGGAGGGAAGGUAGCAGCUUCGGUUGUGUUAUAGCCCUCUACUGAAUACGGAUGCCGAGACCGAGGACCGCAGCGCAAGCUUAGGAUGUUGGCGGAACGGCUUUAAACGACCCGUCUUGAAACACGGACCAAGGAGUCUAACAUGCUUGCGAGUGUUUGGGUGUCAAACCCAUACGCGUAAUGAAAGUGAAUGGAGGUGGGAUCCGCAAGGAGCACCAUCGACCGGUCCGGACGUUUACUGAAGGAUCUGAGUAAGAGCACGUAUGUUGGGACCCGAAAGAUGGUGAACUAUGCCUGAAUAGGGUGAAGCCAGAGGAAACUCUGGUGGAGGCUCGUAGCGGUUCUGACGUGCAAAUCGAUCGUCAAAUUUGGGUAUAGGGGCGAAAGACUAAUCGAACCAUCUACUGGUGGUUAAGAGGGGUGCGACCCUCCUAGUCGGUGCGAGAGCAUCGGCCACACUGUCCAAUUGCCGGGAGUCCCUUAGAGCUCAAACCUACCAAAUUACUGUCCGCAAGGAUGUAAUGGCCUCUCAUUGUCAGAGGGUAUGGUCAUAAUGGUUUGGGAUUGGGUUAUCGGCAGCCAAGUCCGCGACUUAUAGCGGGUGCAGUUCAACGACUAAAUGUCAGUGGGUCAGCAUUACAAUCUGGUAUGCUGGCUUAAGAUGUAGUCUAUUCCCACGCGAAAGCGUGCUCUAGAGACGAAGGUGCUAAACGGCAGUUAGCGCCCCGAGCUCAGGAGAGGCUUGUAUAAAAGCUAGGUAUUA